UCUAUCAGUUUUUAAAAUUGAACCUAAAAAUCACCCCCCACACAAACAGUUUUCACGAUAGCUUCUCCCUCUCCUCUCCCUUGUGCCACCCAUUUCCAUUCCCUUGAUCUUUAAAUCGAUUUUUGAUUCCCAAACUACAAUACAUUGAUUUCCUAUCAUUCCCAAGUCAUUUACCAUCAUAAAUCUUCAAGAAAAACAUUCAAAACUCCAUAGAUUUCGUUAUCUUCUCCAAAAGUGCGCUUUUCAGAAUUGCGUCAAAACUCAUCUAAUCUUUCUAUCAAAGCCCCGGAUUCAUUAAAGCUUACUACGAGUGAAGGAAAAGAUAAGUUGAGCUUUCGACUUUUUGGUAAAAGAGUAAAGUGAGUAGAGACGUCAUGGUGUGGGCGGUGUGGUUAUCGAGGGAGUGAUCCAAGGAAGACUAGUUAUCUAUCGUAGGUGAUCUAAUAUUUAUAUUCGUAAUAGGGAAAUAGGCAAUGUGGUAGAACAAUUUUGGGUUAUUGAUCUUUGAACAUUUUGAUUUGGCUUAUAAGAAUUUCAUGUUAUUUUUAUGUUAGAAUUUUUAUACAUCGAAGUUGGCCUAACGAUUCUUGCAUGGAUGAUUGGACACAUUGGACUAAUAAACUUAGCCAUAGCAUGAUGAACUAAAAAAAA
Molecule: long non-coding RNA, 651 nt
Organism: Gossypium arboreum
Lineage: Eukaryota; Viridiplantae; Streptophyta; Magnoliopsida; Malvales; Malvaceae
Exons: 3
Source: RefSeq, a predicted model, not a curated record